This 963-nucleotide ribosomal RNA is filed under the name Triticum aestivum (bread wheat). RNAcentral's name for it is "partial small subunit ribosomal RNA". Lineage: Eukaryota; Viridiplantae; Streptophyta; Magnoliopsida; Poales; Poaceae. The record is from RNAcentral.
AUGGGAGAUGUGCUGAGGGCUCACGACGUCGCAACCACCGCCGCCGGUGACGAGGCUGGCGUUUGGCCCGGCGAGCUCGACGAGCAGCUCAUACGGGAGCUCCUCAGCGAUGACAGCCUCCUCGGCUCCAUGGCCCCGCCCGACGACUCGGAGCGCCACCGCUCGUGCGACACGGGAGGCGCCCCAGCCGCCGCGCCGUGCAACAGCGGCGGCAGCAUCGCUGCCGUGCACGAGCCGUUGCCGCAGGCUUCGGCGUCGAGCAUGGCUCUGUGCUCGUCGUACUCCGGCCCUACGAUCAGGGACAUCGAGAAGGCGCUGUGGUCUCGGCCGUACACCUCCAGCCAGCGCUACGGCUCGCUGUAUUUCCGCAGGUACGGAGCGCCGGGCACGGCGCCGGAGAGCAGGCACACGACCAAGGUGAGGAGCUGCGGCGGCGGCAAGACGCCGAUGGACGGGUACAGGUGGAGGAAGUACGGGCAGAAGUUCAUCAAGAACAACCCUCAUCCCAGGAGCUACUACAAGUGCACCAGCGCACGGUGCAGCGCCAAGAAGCACGUCGAGAAGUCCACGGACGACCCGGAGAUGCUCGUCGUCACCUACGAGGGGUCGCACCUCCACGGCCCGCAGACGACGACACUCCGGCGCGUCCAGCCCCCGGACGCCGCCGCGGACCUACCCGGCGCGGCGGGCGACGCCGUCGCCGGCGCGGGGAUCGGCUGCAGCGUACGGCCAACAUAUGGAACAUCGUCCGGCGACGAUGCGCGACGAGAAGGCAACGAGCCGCUGCAGGGGCGUCACGAGGGACGACGCGCCCAUGGCGCCGUGCAGCGUGUGACGCCGACGGACUCCUUGGCCUCUUCCCUGCCGCAUUCUGCUGCUGCCGUUGACGCAACUGUGCUUUCUUCUUCUAGUCUGGACUCACCAUGGUCCCUGGAAGCUCUACUUCCCGUGGAGAGGAUCUGA